AUGAACGCUGGCGGCGUGCCUAAUACAUGCAAGUCGAGCGAACAGACGAGGAGCUUGCUCCUCUGACGUUAGCGGCGGACGGGUGAGUAACACGUGGAUAACCUACCUAUAAGACUGGGAUAACUUCGGGAAACCGGAGCUAAUACCGGAUAAUAUAUUGAACCGCAUGGUUCAAUAGUGAAAGACGGUUUUGCUGUCACUUAUAGAUGGAUCCGCGCCGCAUUAGCUAGUUGGUAAGGUAACGGCUUACCAAGGCAACGAUGCGUAGCCGACCUGAGAGGGUGAUCGGCCACACUGGAACUGAGACACGGUCCAGACUCCUACGGGAGGCAGCAGUAGGGAAUCUUCCGCAAUGGGCGAAAGCCUGACGGAGCAACGCCGCGUGAGUGAUGAAGGUCUUCGGAUCGUAAAACUCUAUUAUUAGGGAAGAACAAAUGUGUAAGUAACUAUGCACGUCUUGACGGUACCUAAUCAGAAAGCCACGGCUAACUACGUG
RNAcentral lists this ribosomal RNA (496 nucleotides) under uncultured bacterium. RNAcentral's name for it is "partial 16S ribosomal RNA". It matches the Rfam family "Bacterial small subunit ribosomal RNA", at positions 29 to 507 of the family's 1533-position model. The record is from RNAcentral.